This 1174-nucleotide ribosomal RNA is filed under the name uncultured fungus. Its description in RNAcentral is "eukaryotic LSU rRNA". The stretch from base 535 to 1174 matches the Rfam family "Eukaryotic large subunit ribosomal RNA", at positions 1 to 667 of the family's 3401-position model. Lineage: Eukaryota; Fungi. The record is from RNAcentral.
AAGUCGUAACAAGGUCUCCGUUGGUGAACCAGCGGAGGGAUCAUUACAAGAGUUGCAAAACUCCCUAAAACCCACUGUAAACAUACCUAUUUUGGCUACUUCGGCAGGCGGCCCCAGGGCGGGGCCAUAGCCUUUUUAGGCGCCUGCCAAAGCCUAUAAAACUCUUACUGUUACUAUAUUCUGAACAUAAAGACAAAUAAGUUAAAAUUUUCAAUUGUGGAUCUCUUGGUUCUGGCAUCGAUGAAGAACGCAGCGAAAUGCGAUAAGUAAUGUGAAUUGCAGAAUUCAGCGAAUCAUCGAAUCUUUGAACGCACAUUGCGCCCAUUAGUACUCUAGUGGGCAUGCCUGUUCGAGCGUCAUUUCAACCCUCAAGCCAUCAGGCUUGGUGUUGGGGCUUUCUACAGUAUGUAGGCCCUGAAAGCCAGCGGCGGGCUCGCUGGACUCCGAGCGUAGUAAAUCAUAGAAAUAUACUUUCCUCGCUUAGGGUGUCUAGUGGGUAGCACUUGCCGUAAAACCCCCCAUUUUAUAGAAGGUUGACCUCGGAUCAGGUAGGAAUACCCGCUGAACUUAAGCAUAUCAAUAAGCGGAGGAAAAGAAACCAACAGGGAUUGCCCUAGUAACGGCGAGUGAAGCGGCAACAGCUCAAAUUUGAAAUCUGGCCUCGGCCCGAGUUGUAAUUUGUAGAGGAUGCUUUUGGUGCAGUGCCUUCUGAGUUCCCUGGAACGGGACGCCAGAGAGGGUGAGAGCCCCGUAUAGUUGGACACUAAACCUCUGUAAAGCACCUUCGACGAGUCGAGUAGUUUGGGAAUGCUGCUCAAAAUGGGAGGUAAAUUUCUUCUAAAGCUAAAUACCGGCCAGAGACCGAUAGCGCACAAGUAGAGUGAUCGAAAGAUGAAAAGCACUUUGAAAAGAGGGUUAAAAAGUACGUGAAACAAUUGAAAAGGAAGCACUUAUGACCAGACUUGUGCCUUGCAAAUCAUCCAGCGUUCUCGCUGGUGCACUUUGUUUGGUUCAGGCCAGCAUCGGUUUUUCUAGGGGGAUAAAAGCUCUGGGAACGUGGCUCCUUCGGGAGUGUUAUAGCCCUCUGCAAAAUAUCCUUGGGAGGACCGAGGUUCGCGCUUCUGCAAGGAUGCUGGCGUAAUGGUCAUUAGUGGCCCGUCUUGAAACACGGACC